UCCUUGAUUAUAAUUCCCGCCUUCAUUUAUUAAUAGUACAAAGAUGGAAAAAUAAAAUCUGCCCAUUUCAUCCAUUCGCAUUGUAUUCUUAUUUGCCGAUUUGUAUGCAUGAUGCAGCAAACACUCUGCUUUGGCAGAACAAGAACCUCAAGAACGUCGACUUUGAUUUGGCCCCAAUUUCUUAAGAAUAAGACAUGAUAUGGCAAGUAUUAGGAAUAGCAAAGGGAAAGGACAGAAAUGGGUAACCAUUCCCAUC
RNAcentral lists this unclassified non-coding RNA (256 nucleotides) under Hevea brasiliensis (rubber tree). Lineage: Eukaryota; Viridiplantae; Streptophyta; Magnoliopsida; Malpighiales; Euphorbiaceae. The record is from RNAcentral.